Molecule: unclassified non-coding RNA, 329 nt
Filed under: uncultured fungus
Lineage: Eukaryota; Fungi
Description: sequence contains ITS2
Source: RNAcentral
AACGCAUCUUGCACUCUUUGGUCUUCCAAAGGGUAUGCCUGUUUGAGUAUCAUUAAUAAUAUCAAUACAAAUCAAAUCAAUCAAAUCAACUUGAUAGUUUGAUAUGUGUUUGGAUGUUGAAGGUAUGCUGGCCUUUGUGGUUAGCUCCUUUUAAAUAAAUUAGCAGAACCAUUUUAGGACUGGCUUCAGUUUGAUAAUGAACAUUUUAUCGACGCUGUUGCUUGUUAUUUUUUGUUCAGCUGAUAAUUGUCUAUUUUUGGACUGUCUUUUAAAAGACAUCUAAUUCUUUAAUUGAUCUCAAAUCAGGUAGGAUUACCCGCUGAACUUAA